GCAAUGCGCGCUCCCGACGCAGGAAGGAGGAACAGAUUUCCACAGAGGAACAGAAUCACAAGAUCUCUACAGCAGAACACGAAGAAAAUCAACCACGGAUCUUAGGACGUUGCUGACCAAAGUAAAUCAUAAAGUGAAUGUCUGACGAUGAUGAACAUUCAACUGAAAACUAACUUCAUCGCGAUGUAAGACUGCAGGGAAUGUGCAGAGCUUCCUGUCUGGUAUCGCAAACCUGAAAACCGACGAAGAGCAAAAACCCACGGAUCUUAUGACAUUACUGACCAAAGGAAAUCAUAAAGUGAAUGUCUGACGAUGAUGAACAUUCAACUGAAAACUGACUUCAUCGCGAUGUAAGACUUCAGACGUUGACCUUCAGCAUUAAGAGUCAAUUUGGUUCAUCCUCUAUGAGAGGAUGUUUUCUGUUCCAGACAAGUUUCAUCCUCAUCCUGCCUUUGACAAUGACAUCUUGGGCAACAACAUCUAUGCUGCUGGUGAUUCUGAUGAGAAACUUCAGAGUCAAAUCCAUCACAUGUCAUCUAACUGAAUACAAGAUAGGAGAAGAGUGCUGUCCUAUGUGUUCUGCUGGCCAUAGAGUCAGAAUAGACUGCACUGAGUUUAAAAGUACAUCCUGUCAGCGAUGCACAGAUGGGACAUUUAUGGACCUGCCAAAUGGACUAAAGAGAUGUAAUCCAUGUUCUACCUGUGAUUCAGGAGCUGGUCUGAAAGUAAAGCGACAAUGUGUAAUAACUGCUGACACAGUUUGUGAACCAAUGGAGGGAUUCUACUGUACAGACCUUAAAUCAGGAGGUUGUUCUGUAGCACAGAAACACAGGAGCUGUGAACCAGGACAUUACAUCAGCAGGAUGGGAACAGCCUCCACAGACACAGAAUGCUCUGAAUGCAGCAGUGGAUCAUUUUCUGAUGGAACAAUGUUGUCAUGUCAGCCUCACACACAAUGUGAAAACGAAAACCUUCAGCUGAUAAAAGCAGGAACAGCUUCAACUGAUGCUGAAUGUGGAGAAAAAAGUUACAACACCACAGAAAUUGUGAUCAGUGUUUUGUUUUUGGUGUUUUUAUUAGUUGCAGCAGCAAUUGUUGUUGUUGUUGUUCUCUGGAAAAAUAAAAAAAUUAAAAUACCAAACAUUUGUACAAAACGACAAAAACCCUAAAGGGACCAAGCAGGAGAACAGAGAGAGUGUUUAAAUGCACAAGGACAAUAAACACACUGAUGGUGACAAGCUACUAGCUAGUAGCCACAGCUUCCCUGGGACAGUCUAACACAGGCAUGUCCAAAGUCCGGCCCGGGGGCCAAUCACGGCCCGCGGUCAGAUUUUAUACGGCCCGGUUCGGUUCCAGCUUCGGUUUUAUAAUGUAUUAUUUAUGGCCCGCCUGCACUGUGAAACAGAAUAAAUAAAUCAUAAAACUUGAAACUGUAAUUCC
Xiphophorus maculatus (southern platyfish) is the source of this 1440-nucleotide long non-coding RNA. RefSeq lists it as uncharacterized. The transcript has 11 exons. The record is from RefSeq and is a predicted model, not a curated record. NCBI's taxonomy places the organism in Eukaryota, Metazoa, Chordata, Actinopteri, Cyprinodontiformes, Poeciliidae.